CUCCGGCAGCGCCGCAGAGCCGCGGCCUGAUGAAUGCGGAGCGCGGGCACCCGCCGGGGCCGGCUCGCGAUUCCCGGCAAGCGGCCCGGGCGCCCCUGCGGAGACGCGGCUCCGGCUGCUCGGCUGCGACCCCUGGCGGCCAGCGGAGAAACUCUCCGCAGAGCUUCCCAAGCGAAGGGGCCGCGGGACAGACAGAAAGCAAAAGGGAGGAUUUUAAAAGAAACUGGGAUGAAGAAACUGAAGUCAGGCUGGCAAUGUGAUUUUUCCAAGACUGUGUCAUUAAUGGCCAAAUAACACACCUAACCCUUCAUGGGGCCAGAAGCAACCAUUAAGUCUCCUGACAAAGGAAAUAAAUACCAGUAAAUACUUGUUCCACUUUCAAGUCCAGCUUUUCCAGGAACAUAGCACCAAAACAGACUUCCCAUCUAGCCGACCAAGGGCUGAGUCUCCCUGGAGGGGGUGGUGGGUGAGGGUGGGGGGAGGAUUACUUCACAACAAGACGAAGUGUCACAAUAAUAACUAGAAAGAUCUCACAGGAGUAAACUUUCCCAACAUUUACAUACAGCAACUCCCUCUCCAUAUUGUGACAACAUGCAAAUUUCCUACCUAACUCUGUCUUUCCACCAUUAGCAUGGUCACUCACAUCCCACAAUAAGAAGAUGAGAUGCUGCCGAGUAUGGAAAGAACCUCAGUGGGUUAUCUGCCUUCAAGGUGUCACCCCUUUCCCAGGCUUUGAUGCACCAUGAUAUGUAGUCCAGACCCCCAGCCCAUGGAAAGUCCCAUCAGGUUCUGCAUUCCCCUGAGGAUGAUGUUCUGGGCAUGCCUGUGCAGCCCAAAGCUGCUAUGGUUGGGCUUUACCCUGGGGCUCUUGGGCUACAAGAGGCCAGGGUAGCCACUGUCAAGGAUGAGAGGUCCGAGACCACAGAAGAAUGUGCAGUCUGCUACAAGAGAAAAAGGAGCUGUCACGGUGCCUUCUCUCUGGGGAGCUGUGUCAGAACCGUAGACAAAGGUUUGAGCAGAGGCUGCAGCCACACAGAGCCCGUGCUAUCCUUGCCUCUCCUCCUCCUGUCAGAUGACCUCACCAUCUUCCUCCACAUCCCCUGGCUGCUGAAGAUUCUUGCUGCCCCGGGCCUCUGCCUGUGGUCUGUGGAAAAAAAUAUUUUAUUUCUGAUGCCAGCUUUAUGGGCAUGGACCAGGACCCAUCAAUAAUCCAUAGCUUCGGGUGAACUCCAGGAACCCAAAGCUUGGUGAGUGAGACCACAGACAGAAGACAACAUGAAGGCUCCUGGGGUCAUAGGGAAGUGGAGCCCAACUCACCCUCCCUUCACUCUGUACGCCCACAUGUGCAGCCUCGAUGGCAUCGGCCUACUGGCUCCAGCCCACUCUUCCUACACAGACUUCACCCCUACCCCUGCACCCACUUAGACUGGCAUCUCACUGCCCUGAACCUCAUCUCACCCUCUCCUGCUUUCAUCCUUGUCUGAAAGUCCUUUCCCAAAUCCAAGUCUUUAAGGUCUGGCUCAAGUCCAAGAGCACCACAAAGACUUCAAGACAAUGCCAGUCAUCACUGCUUUGAACCCCUACCACAACCCCAUCUUGUCAUCCGGGCACGUACUGUGGGCAGAUGCCAUCGCCUAUACAAAGCUCAGAUGGGUACCAAGGGUAAGGGUGGCCCAGCCAGCUGCAAACCCAGGCCCUGUCAUUUCCUCAAGUUAAGUCUGCCUCUGUGUCCUUUUCUGCAAAAUGAGCCUGGAAAUAGAAUCUACCUCCUAGAUUUAUUUUGAAACCUAAAUGAGAGAAGACUUUAAAGCAGUUGGCACAGGGCCAGGCAGGAAGUAGGUUCUGGGUGCGUGGCACGUAUGAGCAUUGUUAGCAAUGUCCCCACCACCCCAGUCACAGCAUGAUGCAUGGUGGGCCACUAUGUGGGACCUGCUCUGGGCCACCACAGAUGUUAUGGUCUGCCAGGAGAGUCUGAAGGUGGUGUGGCUUGUACCUCGGUGCCUAGGACUUCUAAUCAACCCUCUCUUGGAUGUUUGCUCAGAUUUCUUUCUCCCCACAAGAUGCAGACUCGUGUUCAUGACUCAGGAGCCGCUUCCAGGCGGAUUGCACAAUUAGCACUCCGAGAUCCACCACCACACUGUUACUGGUGAAGCUCAGAACCUGCUCCCUCUUCCCUCAGACUGACUUCCUCUCAGGAGGAGCCUCAAUUCUCAUGCAAGCAGGUUACCCAGAGACCUCGGAAUUUUAGAUAUCCCCAGACCUGUCAAUGUCUUUAGACUUGAGGUGGGCAUCUCCUCCCACUUCAGUUACAAUUAGAAAUAAAUUACACACCCUUCCAAACUGACA
Molecule: long non-coding RNA, 2346 nt
Organism: Vulpes vulpes (red fox)
Lineage: Eukaryota; Metazoa; Chordata; Mammalia; Carnivora; Canidae
Source: Ensembl